UGCCUACGGGGGGCAGCAGUGAGGAAUAUUGGUCAAUGGGCGGGAGCCUGAACCAGCCAAGUCGCGUGAGGGACGACGGUCCUAUGGAUUGUAAACCUCUUUUGUCGGGGAACAAAGGCGCCCACGGGUGGGCGGAUGAGUGUACCCGGAGAAAAAGCAUCGGCUAACUCCGUGCCAGCAGCCGCGGUAAUACGGAGGAUGCGAGCGUUAUCCGGAUUUAUUGGGUUUAAAGGGUGCGCAGGCGGCGAGUUAAGUCAGCGGUAAAAUUUCGGGGCUCAACCCCGACGAGCCGUUGAAACUGGCUU
This 305-nucleotide ribosomal RNA is filed under the name uncultured bacterium. RNAcentral describes it as "bacterial SSU rRNA". It matches the Rfam family "Bacterial small subunit ribosomal RNA", at positions 335 to 639 of the family's 1533-position model. The record is from RNAcentral.